RNAcentral lists this RNase P RNA (278 nucleotides) under Nitrosopumilales archaeon. RNAcentral describes it as "archaeal RNaseP". It matches the Rfam family "Archaeal RNase P". Rfam says of the family: Ribonuclease P (RNase P) is a ubiquitous endoribonuclease, found in archaea, bacteria and eukarya as well as chloroplasts and mitochondria. Its best characterised activity is the generation of mature 5'-ends of tRNAs by cleaving the 5'-leader elements of precursor-tRNAs. Lineage: Archaea; Thermoproteati; Nitrososphaerota; Nitrososphaeria; Nitrosopumilales. The record is from RNAcentral.
GCGAGCUGGAGCACGAAACGCUGCUACGGCAGAGGAAACUCCUCCCUCCAUACAGGAAAUGUGAUUCGGAGAUGAAUAAUCAGAGAUGGUUGGCAACAGUUCAGAAAUUAAUCCAAACUGGAGCACUAUGAUGGUAAAACCUGAGAUUUCCAGUCAAGGAAUGAAAAGCCUGACCCACAUGGAGCAAGGCCAAACAGAGCUAUAGGGCCUGUACCAAGCUCAGGUAGGCUGCAUAGCGAAAUAUCGUGAAAACAGAAGGAGGGUUACUCCCAGCACGC